Long non-coding RNA from Dermochelys coriacea (leatherback sea turtle), 4372 nucleotides. RefSeq lists it as uncharacterized. The record is from RefSeq and is a predicted model, not a curated record. The transcript has 7 exons. NCBI's taxonomy places the organism in Eukaryota, Metazoa, Chordata, Testudines, Dermochelyidae.
GGCCGCGCCGGGGGGGGGGAGGGCGCGCGGCACGGCUUGUUGCUAUGGUUACUCAGCGACGCCUGGCCUCGCGCUGGACCCGAGUGGGGAGCGCGGCAGCGUCCGGGACGGUCCCCGCCCUUCCCCCUAGGCCGGCGGAAGGAGCGGGAGCAGCCGGGGGUUGGGAGAGCUGGGAGCCGUUCGUGCUUCGCCAGGCCCCGCCGGUGUGUGAGCGGGGCCAGUCACGGGGCCGCGGGCCGGGCGCCCAAGGCCUGUGAGCCUCUCACCCGACAGGCCGGGCGGCGCGUCGAGCCCUGCUGGUGAAAGGGGGUUCAGCAGGAAGGCCAACGACGAAAUGGGCUACGGAGACUGAAUUCCCCUUGAGGAGAAGAGGAGAAAUAAAGAGGAGCCUGGCUGCUUCUCCCUCACAGCUGCUUCCAGGUUCAUGAACCCUGAACCCUACGGAGAUCCUCCAAGGUCUGCAGGUUAAGGAAGCGAAGCGCAAAAUGGAAGGCCUUCCCCUCUUCUAGAAUCAAAUCUACAUGUUUCUGCCAGGAAGUUCUUGAAAUUCCUUGCUUUCUCACUUCAUAUUUUUCAGACAGAUGGAGAAGUGAGACCCAAUCAACAUAUUUAUCAAGCAGAGACAUCCAGUUGCUGAACACGCAAGCCCUUCCACCUCAGAUGGACUGAGGAAUCCACCCAAGACUCUUGGGGAGUGUGUGCUCCCCAUUGUAUGAGAAGGAACAAGCUCAGGGACUAAAUGCUACAGGACAUUGUGGCCAAGGUAGAUCAACUGCAGUACCAGAGAAGGACGGAGGAGUAGAAGGCUCAGAGGGGGACAGCCCUACUGAAGGAGAGAAUGGUGGCGUGGUUCUUUGACCAUGACUGGAGAUUGAAGGAGAAGGACAGAAGACACACCUGUUCAAGAGGCUGCUCAGAUUCAUGGCCAUCAGGCUGCAGGACCCAAUCAAUUUCCCUCAUAAUUUUCUUCAUCUUUGGGAAAUUAGCCCUUUUGGAGCACCAAAUAUAUGCAUCAGUGGUUGGGACUAUCCUCUGCCCACACUGAAUGUAAUCAGAUCACGCUCACUGGUUCCUAGGCAACCACUAACUUCCAGUCCAGUGAUCAAUUCAGUUAUGUCACUGUAGUCCAGGCUUCGUGUCAAGAUACUCUCUGGACAUUAGAGCAAGGGCUUUCAUUGUGGACUGCCCUAUCGUUGAGCGGUCAUAGCUCUUAAUUCUGCCCAUUCUGGAGAAUGACAGUUAUGCUUCAAUAUUGGGAGGUAAAUGCAAUAUUGGGAGGUAAAUGCAAAGAGCGAUAUCUAGGUCUGGAAAAGUUGAUUCCAGGUGAAGAGCCUUCUGCUGUUUUAAAAGGCAAUUUACAAUUUUCAUUUGUUGUGAAAGAACAAAACUGUUCAAACUCAAAUUGUUUCAAGAUCUCAAGGAUAUUUUGCAACCCAAGUGCAGAAUGAAUCUCAGAGUGGGGUACUGUGUUGAAAUUGGUUAGGAAACCCAAAUCCUUUAUAUAAACAAAUAUAAGCUUCCAGGUAAUUUUGCAGGGACAUUUGCAAAUGAUCAACUAUGAAAUUAAAAGUUUCUACUCUAAAUGUUUCUGGCCACUGCAGCUCCAUAUUUGGUGUAUUGGAUUCACAUGCCUGCUGUUUAUGUUUUGGGACAUGAUGAGUUUCACUGUAGUAGGUUUGAGAUACAGUCGGUGUCUUUAACUUUGUAAGUGCUUCCAUGUCAUCAGUCUGAUCCCUCAGGUGCAAUAAAACCAAAACCAAAAAUCAGCCAGUGACUGCAGGAGUUGAACAGCAGAACCAGUCUUUGCUUUUUAAAGUGUGGAACUUGUUGACUGAAAUUGCUAGAGGAUAUGAUUCCAUAGCACUGCAUAAAUGCAGUUUCAAGACAGUCCAUCUUGUCUCACAAGAACUGAGCUUCUGUUUGUUUAGCCCCAUAUUCAGCAAUGUCUUUGCUGAUUUAAUCCAGAGCUUUUCGUAUAUUUAAACAAUUGUGCAUAGGGCUUUUGUGGAUUCAGGGGGCAGGUCCAACAGGUGCUAGACAGAGAUUUCAGAAACAAAAGACAAUUAUUUUCAUUUCCUUUAAGCCUCUCUGUAAGGAUUAUCCAGCAGUAAGGCAUGGAGUUGCUGGAGGAAGCCAAAAAAAAAAAGGUACUGCUUGCAGGUAGCACGUUAGUAACUACGGUGUCCAGAGGUUCAGAGAAUGUGCAGCACAAGGAACAUUAAUCGGCCUAAUAUGUGUCUGAAACCCGGCAUAUUUUCUUGACAUGUUGGCAGCAUUGUCAUAGCUCAUUUAGAGUACACAGCACAUUCUCUACAAGACUUUCACCAGAAUGACAGUAAAUGGGCACAAAUUUCAGAAAACAUUUGAUGCGAUUUCUGCUUUCGUUAACAAAAUGAACAGUGCAUGCCAGCUGAUGAACAUGAGAAACAGUGGGAAUACUGUCAACUGAACAGUAAUACUUGGCUGUAUUGCUGAUAGAACUUUCUUCCCCCUCAGUUGCAAAAACUCAUUGCAGAUAGUGGAGGAAAUAUAUGAUGCUUUUCCAUGCCCAGCAAUGCUGAACUUCUCAACAUGAAUUGUAAGGAAGUUAACAGAUUUGAAAAUUAGCUAUAAAACUCCCCAAAUAUUUCCAUUAUGAACAGAUCCAUUUUUUCCAUCGUCCUCACAAAGCAAGAACCUUCUUUCAGCAAGAAAUGUGAUUACCUUCACAAUUCACUUUAGUAUCUCUCACCAGUACUGUGUCUUGUUUUGAAACUGAUUAACUUGACAGCUCAGUAUCAAUACACUGAUUAACUUAUCACACAUUAACAAAAGUGAUCAGUGCUACCCUUAUACUUUUUAAUUCAAACAGUAAUCUCAUCACUAAAUCCGCCACAAAAAUCGCACUAAAUCCAUCACAUACGUCGUGUUUGUCUGAAAAAGCUUGCCCCUGAAACAGAACACAGCACCGGUUGACGUUGAGUACAGCAACCAUUCCCAGAAAAGUGACUGUUUCUCUGUUGACUGACUUCUGAGUGAAAAUAACUUUGGAAGGAUAACAACUGUAAGACUGACCACGUAUGUGUUUGUACAGGCUGAAUGUGGCAUUCCCUCAACUGCAGCAUCCAUAUGAGUUACCACUUGAUUUACAAAAUUGUUCAGUUUCGGUACUUUCCGAAGUAACUCUUUAUCCCGCAGUUCCUUUUUUAAAUUAAUUUUCAUUUAGAGGAGCUGCUCAUGUAUUUCCAACUUGCCUUUUCUUACACAAAAUUAAUCAAUCAACUUAACUAGAGUGUGCAUGUAUUUGUGCGUGUGUGUAUUUGUGUGUGUGCGCUAUAUGGAGUCAUGUACAUUAAGAUUAAACAAACCAUAGCAGCUUCCAAGGGACAAAGCUUAAGGGGCUUGAAAGCUUUGUGACAAAAUGAAUAUAGCAGAAGGUCCUAGGUUAUGAUUUUUAUUAAAAUGCAAGUAAACAUGAUGAGUGCGUAUUGGUGAUUUGAGUUUGCAGAGGUAAGUUUUGGGUUCAGGUGUGGGUUUCUUUUUCCUGGUGGGGUCAGGAGCCCCCCUAAGGAAAGGAGUUUUGUGGAAGUGCAUAUUGGUUAAUCUGGGCCUAGGGAUGGGAAGACCUGAAGUGGCAGGACAAUUACAAGAAUUACUGCAGGAACAAGCAGUCUGCAUGAUAUUACAAGGCAGCCAUGUGGUUCAAUGUGCUGAGUUAAGAUUAAAAAAACAAGACUAUCAGGGUAACUGUGUUGCAUAUGCUCUCAAUGGAAUUAAGAGGGGGUUUUGGUCAAUAUCACAAGUUAAGGUGAGGCCCCUCACCUGUGAUUAACAAUCCAAAGGCCUUGGAUUUGGUCUCCUCAGUCAGCUGCUUUGUCUUAAUUAGAAAGCACAGGACAGAGAUAUUGGGAAUGAGCAUGGCCAUGUUCUGCUCCUCACAGGUGAAGGGCAUCUAGAAAGAUGAUGCAGGUUCUGGGUGGCUGUGCCAAGAAUAUUGCCUGUGGAAGGGGAGACACAAAGUGUGAGUGCUGCUCAGAGCCUACACCAGAUGUAAAUAUCACAGCUCCAUUGAAGUCAAUGGUAUCUAGAUAACAGCAAUGUUCACAGGCUCUGAGACCUGUGGUGGCCAGGAAUCCCAGGCUGAAGGGGCUUUUCAGGGAAGCAGAGUUAUGUGCGUACUUCUCCUUCAUAUAAAGAACAUGUGAGCAAGACGUGCUGCUUUGUGGAGACAUUCCGUCCCAGCCAUUCAAGACUUUGUGAACACACCACCUUCCCAAUGAGACACUUUUGAUGUCUUGAGGUGUCAGAACCUUCUUUUGCCCCUUGUGACAGGGUCAGGCCAGAUGGCUACAGGAGAGUUUAGAAGGCAGAUAUAUUAGUCCCAGAUUAAGCA